AAUCCAUAGGUUAAUGAGGCGAACCGGGGGAACUGAAACAUCUAAGUACCCCGAGGAAAAGAAAUCAACCGAGAUUCCCCCAGUAGCGGCGAGCGAACGGGGAGGAGCCCAGAGCCUGAAUCAGCAUGUGUGUUAGUGGAAGCGUCUGGAAAGGCGCGCGAUACAGGGUGACAGCCCCGUACACAAAAGCGCAUGUGCUGUGAGCUCGAUGAGUAGGGCGGGACACGUGGUAUCCUGUCUGAAUAUGGGGGGACCAUCCUCCAAGGCUAAAUACUCCUGACUGACCGAUAGUGAACCAGUACCGUGAGGGAAAGGCGAAAAGAACCCCGGCGAGGGGAGUGAAAAAGAACCUGAAACCGUGUACGUACAAGCAGUGGGAGCACAGGUUUACCUGUGUGACUGCGUACCUUUUGUAUAAUGGGUCAGCGACUUAUAUUCUGUAGCAAGGUUAACCGAAUAGGGGAGCCGGAGGGAAACCGAGUCUUAAUUGGGCGUUAAGUUGCAGGGUAUAGACCCGAAACCCGGUGAUCUAGCCAUGGGCAGGUUGAAGGUUGGGUAACACUAACUGGAGGACCGAACCGACUAAUGUUGAAAAAUUAGCGGAUGACCUGUGGCUGGGGGUGAAAGGCCAAUCAAACCGGGAGAUAGCUGGUUCUCCCCGAAAGCUAUUUAGGUAGCGCCUCGUGAAUUCAUCUCCGGGGGUAGAGCACUGUUUCGGCUAGGGGGCCAUCCCGGCUUACCAACCCGAUGCAAACUGCGAAUACCGGAGAAUGUUAUCACGGGAGACACACGGCGGGUGCUAACGUCCGUCGUGAAGAGGGAAACAACCCAGACCGCCAGCUAAGGUCCCAAAGUCAUGGUUAAGUGGGAAACGAUGUGGGAAGGCCCAGACAGCCAGGAUGUUGGCUUAGAAGCAGCCAUCAUUUAAAGAAAGCGUAAUAGCUCACUGGUCGAGUCGGCCUGCGCGGAAGAUGUAACGGGGCUAAACCAUGCACCGAAGCUGCGGCAGCGACGCUUAUG
This 1020-nucleotide ribosomal RNA is filed under the name Salmonella enterica subsp. enterica serovar Enteritidis. RNAcentral's name for it is "partial 23S ribosomal RNA". It matches the Rfam family "Bacterial large subunit ribosomal RNA", at positions 161 to 1220 of the family's 2925-position model. Lineage: Bacteria; Pseudomonadati; Pseudomonadota; Gammaproteobacteria; Enterobacterales; Enterobacteriaceae. The record is from RNAcentral.